AGAGAGAGAUUGGUGGGAUUUCAUGUCCAUAGAUUGGACGUUUUUACUCUGUAGGAUGGGGGCAGGGUUCAGCAGUUAGGACAGUUGGAGUGUUCUGUGAGUAGAACAUGGCAGCUAGAGGUCCUGGGGAUUUUUUUGGCCAUCCAGGUGACUCAAGGGGCUUACAUUCCCCGGUCUCUGUUUAUUAUGGAUAAACAACCAGGUCACAGGAAGGCUGUGAUUUUAUCAUUAGACUACCUCCUGUUGAAUCAGGGCAUCGGAGUCCUUUGGGUGAACUUGAACUUCACCAUCAAGGACCCAGGAAAACUGCAUCAGAGAGGGCGAAGUCUCAUCUGCAUGCACCCUACUUCACACUACAGCUAAAGAACCCCACGAAGCGCUCAGCUCUGAGUUUAUACAGCCUAGGAACCACUGGCCCGAAAACAAGCGUUCAGGAGGAAGGAAGACAUGGUCUGGGUUAUGAGAAGACCACUUGCUCCUUGUCCAGUAUAUUGUCUUUCUCUUAUGCCAGAGGAUUACACCUAAGACAGCCAGCCAAGGCCAUCUAUGAAGACCUUGCGGUUACUACUACUGGCAUUCUGCUGGUAAGCCAAGAAGGCUGACUUUAGCAGUGAGAACCAUGCCCCAUGGUAUGGUCUACAGUAGAGUCAUCUCAGCGAAGCCUGCAAAUAAGCAUAACAAAGCACAGAGGAAACCAUAUUUCAGAAACCACGUUAAAUUCUACCUAUUAGUGGGGCUUUAGAAACCCCACAGGUUCUCCACUAGCAAAGCACACCAUCAUGUCCACUCAGCUUUAAAGUAUGCAGCCAGUAAUUAAACUCCUUGCUAGCAUAAA
This is a long non-coding RNA of Myodes glareolus (Bank vole), 835 nucleotides long. RefSeq lists it as uncharacterized. The record is from RefSeq and is a predicted model, not a curated record. Lineage: Eukaryota; Metazoa; Chordata; Mammalia; Rodentia; Cricetidae.